Molecule: ribosomal RNA, 441 nt
Filed under: uncultured bacterium
Lineage: Bacteria
Description: partial 16S ribosomal RNA
Rfam family: Bacterial small subunit ribosomal RNA
Source: RNAcentral
CCUACGGGUGGCAGCAGUGGGGAAUAUUGCACAAUGGGGGAAACCCUGAUGCAGCAACGCCGCGUGAAUGAAGACGUUUUUCGGAUUGUAAACUUCUGUCAUUAGUGAAGAAUAAUGACGUUAGCUAAGGAGCAACCCACGGCUAACUACGUGCCAGCAGCCGCGGAAAUCCGUAGGUGGCAAGCGUUUGCCGGAAUUCCUGGGUGUAAAGGGAGCGCAGGCGGGAAGCCAAGUCAGCUGUGAAAGCUACGGGCUUAACUUGUAGACUGCAGUGGAACCUGGAUGCCUUGAGUGAAGGAGAGGUUGGCGGAAUUCCGAGUGUAGCGGUGAAAGGCGUAGAUAUUAGGAGGAACACCGGUGGCGAAGGCGGCCAACUGGGCUUUAACUGACGCUGAGGCUCGAAAGUGUGGGGAGCAAACAGGAUUAGAUACCCCAGUAGUC